GACGAACGCUGGCGGCGUGCCUAAUACAUGCAAGUAGAACGCACAGUUUAUAUCGUAGCUUGCUACACAAUAGACUGUGAGUUGCGAACGGGGGAGUAACGCGUAGGUAACCUGCCUGGUAGCGGGGGAUAACUAUUGGAAACGAUAGCUAAUACCGCAUAAUAUUAAUUAUUGCAUGAUAAUUGAUUGAAUGACGCAACUGCAUCACUACCAGAUGGACCUGCGUUGUAUUAGCUAGUAGGUGAGGUAACGGCUCACCUAGGCGAGGAUACAUAGCCGACCUGAGAGGGUGAUCGGCCACACUGGGACUGAGACACGGCCCAGACUCCUACGGGAGGCAGCAGUAGGGAAUCUUCGGCAAUGGACGAAAGUCUGACCGAGCAACGCCGCGUGAGUGAAGAAGGUUUUCGGAUCGUAAAGCUCUGUUGUGAGAGAAGAACGGGUGUGAGAGUGGAAAGUUCACAAUGUGACGGUAUCUUACCAGAAAGGGACGGCUAACUACGUG
Molecule: ribosomal RNA, 505 nt
Filed under: uncultured bacterium
Lineage: Bacteria
Description: partial 16S ribosomal RNA
Rfam family: Bacterial small subunit ribosomal RNA
Source: RNAcentral